AGCAGCCGCGGUAAUUCCAGCUCCAAUAGCGUAUAUUAAAGUUGUUGCAGUUAAAAAGCUCGUAGUUGAAUUUCGGGGUUCUACCGUCGGUCGGGCUACCAAGUCUGUACUGGUGUGUAGAAUUUCUACCUUCUGGGGAACCAUCAUGUUAUUAAUUUAGCGUGGUGGGAAACCAGGACCUUUACCUUGAAAAAAUUAGAGUGUUCAAAGCAGGCUUAUGUCUGAAUACAUUAGCAUGGAAUAAUAGAAUAGGACGGUGGUCCUGUUUUGUGGUUUCUGAAUCACCGUAAUGAUUAAUAGGGAUAGUUGGGGGCAUUAGUAUUCAAUUGUCAGAGGUGAAAUUCUUGGAUUUAUUGAAGACUAACUUCUGCGAAAGCAUUUGCCAAGGAUGUUUUC
Molecule: ribosomal RNA, 396 nt
Filed under: uncultured Glomeromycotina
Lineage: Eukaryota; Fungi; Glomeromycota
Description: SSU rRNA
Rfam family: Eukaryotic small subunit ribosomal RNA
Source: RNAcentral